UGCAGAGAUGAUAAAAAUGAUGGAGUCAUCAAUGCAGUAUUACUUAGUGUGAAUUUGACUUAAAGUCACUAUUCCAUUAUGGUAUAAUGUAGUAUGACAAAAUCACCAAAUGACGAAAUCCUCAACGGACUGUAAAUACAGUGCGGCAUCAUGACGUCAUUCUCAAAAAUGUUUUCAAAAACUCCAAGUGUUUAUCGAAAGAAAUUUUC
RNAcentral lists this long non-coding RNA (209 nucleotides) under Panax ginseng (ginseng). Its description in RNAcentral is "long non-coding RNA (PGIN_LNC008999)". Lineage: Eukaryota; Viridiplantae; Streptophyta; Magnoliopsida; Apiales; Araliaceae. The record is from RNAcentral.